Molecule: transfer RNA, 71 nt
Filed under: Lepisma saccharinum
Lineage: Eukaryota; Metazoa; Arthropoda; Insecta; Zygentoma; Lepismatidae
Description: Lepisma saccharina tRNA-Val
Source: RNAcentral
UAAGGUAGGGCUUGAGAGUGGAGCAGUUCGUUUACACCGAAAAGGUUUCUGUGCAAUUCAGAUUAUCUUAA